Rosa rugosa (rugosa rose) is the source of this 444-nucleotide long non-coding RNA. RefSeq lists it as uncharacterized. NCBI's taxonomy places the organism in Eukaryota, Viridiplantae, Streptophyta, Magnoliopsida, Rosales, Rosaceae. The record is from RefSeq and is a predicted model, not a curated record. The transcript has 2 exons.
UUCAAUGUGUAUUUAUGUUCUGUUAGGUGUUGAGGGAGCUACUUGAGCUCGUUUGUUUUUUGUAACAUGUUUAGACAAUCUUCCUUGUACAGAGCUUCUUGCUUGUGUCAUUUUGUCAUGUUGCUCAUGGGUAGUGUGGCUUUUGAUGUGGGAGUAUUGUAUGCAGCAUCUUGAAACAAGUUGAUGUGGUGGCAGAAGCAGAAGAAAAAAAGAGGAGCUGCAGGUGCAAGCAUUAGUGGUGGCCGAAGUGGGCAAGCAAUCAUAAAUAGUCCAAUAAACAAUGAUCCAUUUCUAGCACACUAAUGUCUUUGUCCCGGAUGCAAUGUUAAACAAUAAAUUGUCACCGAUUCAUGAUUUUGUGGAACAAUGACUAAUACAAAUUGUAUCUUGGUGGAUCCAAUGUACUUUGAAGUUUAAAAUAUGGGUUGGAGUACUAUUAGUUCA